This 891-nucleotide ribosomal RNA is filed under the name Arthonia didyma. RNAcentral describes it as "mitochondrial SSU rRNA". It matches the Rfam family "Bacterial small subunit ribosomal RNA", at positions 1 to 1186 of the family's 1533-position model. The record is from RNAcentral. Lineage: Eukaryota; Fungi; Ascomycota; Arthoniomycetes; Arthoniales; Arthoniaceae.
AGGAAAGCAUUAUGUGUAAAAAACAUAAUGUAAUUUUUUAUAGCUGCGGCAAGUUAUCUAUAAUAGAAUCUAGAGUUCUUGGGAUAGCAAAGAAGAUGGGUAUGACUAACCUGUUUUCUUUUUUAUUAGCGAUUUACUCGCAUGACGUCCCACAUAGAAUACAGAUAAUGACUGUUAUCUGUGUGAUAGUCUUGACUAAAACACGUGCCAGCAGUCGCGGUAACACGGUACAGACGAGUGUUAUUCAUCUUUAAUAGGUUUAAAGGGUACCUAGACGGUAGAUUUAACCCCCACUGGGCUGGACGGGUAUACUUUUGCUAGAGUUUUAUGUGAGAGGGAUUUAGUACUAUCGGAGUAGAGAUGAUAUUUGUUGAUACUGUAGGGCACUGAUAAUGGCGAAGGCGAACCUUUAUGUAAAAACUGACGUUGAGGGACGAAGGCUUGGGUAACAAACAGGAUUAGGUACCCUAAUAGUCCAUGCAGAGACUGAUGAGUGCCAUAGAUUAGAUUAUAUUUGGUCUAUAAAUGAAAGUGAAAGCAUUCCACCUUAAGAGUAAUGCGGCAACGCAGGAACUGAAAUCAUUAGACCGUUUCUGAUACCAGUAGUGAAGUAUGUUGUUUAAUUCGAUGAUCCACGAAAAAUCUUACCACAAUUUGAAUAUUAUAGUAACUAAAGGAAAGUCUUUUAAUAAUUAUAUUAUUAUUAGAUGAAAGUGCUAUCAAUACAGGUGUUGCAUGGCUGUCUUCAGUUGGUGUCGUGAGGCUCGGGCAAUAGCCUGAUCGAAACAACGUGAACCCGAAUUUUAUUUCAAUUGGCAUUGCCAAUUACAUAGAGUGUAGUAUUAUUCAUCCCCAACCUUUUUAACGCAGUUUAGGCGAGGGGAUGAACAC